This 815-nucleotide ribosomal RNA is filed under the name uncultured bacterium. RNAcentral's name for it is "bacterial SSU rRNA". It matches the Rfam family "Bacterial small subunit ribosomal RNA", at positions 8 to 796 of the family's 1533-position model. The record is from RNAcentral.
AGAGUUUGAUCAUGGCUCAGAACGAACGCUGGCGGCGUGGAUAAGACAUGCAAGUCGGACGCUGAUCGCCGGGUAGCAAUAUUCGGCGGUUGGAGUGGCGUAAGGGUGCGUAACACGUGGGUAAUUUGCCGUGAAGUCGGGGAUAACUCGCUGAAAGGCGAGCUAAUACCGGAUGUGGAUCUUGGGUGGCAUCGCUUGAGAUCUAAAGUUGGGGACCGUAAGGCCUGACGCUUCACGAUGAGCCCGCGGCCUAUCAGCUUGUUGGUGAGGUAACGGCUCACCAAGGCUAAGACGGGUAGCUGGUCUGAGAGGACGACCAGCCACACUGGAACUGAGACACGGUCCAGACACCUACGGGUGGCAGCAGUCGAGAAUUUUUCACAAUGGGCGAAAGCCUGAUGGAGCGACGCCGCGUGGGGGAUGAAUGGCUUCGGCCCGUAAACCCCUGUCAUUUGCGAACAAACCUUGCCUGUUAAUACCGGGCGAGCUGAUUGUAGCGAAAGAGGAAGGGACGGCUAACUCUGUGCCAGCAGCCGCGGUAAUACAGAGGUCCCAAGCGUUGUUCGGAUUCACUGGGCGUAAAGGGUGCGUAGGUGGUCGGGUAAGUCUGAUGUGAAAUCUCCGAGCUUAACUCGGAAAUGGCAUUGGAUACUAUUCGGCUAGAGGGUUGGAGGGGGGACUGGAAUUCUCGGUGUAGCAGUGAAAUGCGUAGAUAUCGAGAGGAACACCAGUGGCGAAGGCGAGUCCCUGGACAACUCCUGACACUGAGGCACGAAAGCUAGGGGAGCAAACAGGAUUAGAUACCCUAGUAGUCC